RNAcentral lists this ribosomal RNA (497 nucleotides) under uncultured bacterium. Its description in RNAcentral is "partial 16S ribosomal RNA". It matches the Rfam family "Bacterial small subunit ribosomal RNA", at positions 28 to 507 of the family's 1533-position model. The record is from RNAcentral.
GAUGAACGCUGGCGGCGUGCCUAAUACAUGCGAGUCGAGCGAACGGACGAGAAGCUUGCUUCUCUGAUGUUAGCGGCGGACGGGUGAGUAACACGUGGAUAACCUACCUAUAAGACUGGGAUAACUUCGGGAAACCGGAGCUAAUACCGGAUAAUAUUUUGAACCGCAUGGUUCAAAAGUGAAAGACGGUCUUGCUGUCACUUAUAGAUGGAUCCGCGCUGCAUUAGCUAGUUGGUAAGGUAACGGCUUACCAAGGCAACGAUGCAUAGCCGACCUGAGAGGGUGAUCGGCCACACUAGAACUGAGACACGGUCCAGACUCCUACGGGAGGCAGCAGUAGGGAAUCUUCCGCAAUGGGCGAAAGCCUGACGGAGCAACGCCGCGUGAGUGAUGAAGGUCUUCGGAUCGUAAAACUCUGUUAUUAGGGAAGAACAUAUGUGUAAGUAACUGUGCACAUCUUGACGGUACCUAAUCAGAAAGCCACGGCUAACUACGUG